GCGGCUGUGUGGAUGGCGUGCCUGCACGCACAGACACACAGACAUUUGCCAGGCAGGACGGAAUGAGCAAGAAGGCCGGUGAGGCCGGAUUGCGAAUUCCGUCUGCGAUUGCGGGAGUGCCAAAGGCACGGAGCAAUCGGCUU
RNAcentral lists this small RNA (143 nucleotides) under uncultured Eisenbergiella sp. RNAcentral describes it as "Clostridiales-1 RNA". It matches the Rfam family "Clostridiales-1 RNA", at positions 17 to 158 of the family's 166-position model. The record is from RNAcentral. Lineage: Bacteria; Bacillati; Bacillota; Clostridia; Lachnospirales; Lachnospiraceae.